Molecule: ribosomal RNA, 307 nt
Filed under: uncultured bacterium
Lineage: Bacteria
Description: partial 16S ribosomal RNA
Rfam family: Bacterial small subunit ribosomal RNA
Source: RNAcentral
AGACAGCAGUCGCCACGGUAAUACAGAGGAUGCAAGCGUUAUCCGGAAUGAUUGGGCGUAAAGCGUCUGUAGGUGGCUUUUCAAGUCCGCCGUCAAAUCCCAGGGCUCAACCCCGUGACGCACUGGAAACUGGGAGACUUGAGUGCAGAAGAGGAGAGCGGAAUUCCACGUGUAGCGGUGAAAUGCGUAGAGAUGUGGAGGAACACCAGUGGCGAAGGCGGCUCUCUGGACUGUAACUGACGCUGAGGCGCGAAAGCGUGGGGAGCAAACAGGAUUAGAUACCCCGGUAGUCCCUGUCUCUUAUACA